This 315-nucleotide ribosomal RNA is filed under the name uncultured eukaryote. RNAcentral describes it as "partial 18S ribosomal RNA". It matches the Rfam family "Eukaryotic small subunit ribosomal RNA", at positions 1470 to 1796 of the family's 1831-position model. The record is from RNAcentral.
CCCUUAGACGUUCUGGGCCGCACGCGCGCUACACUGACCAGUGCAACAAGCAUCCGUCCUUGGCCGACAGGCUCGGGCAAUCUUUGAACGCUGGUCGUGAUGGGGAUAGACUUUUGCAAUUUUUGGUCUUCAACGAGGAAUUCCUAGUAAACGCAAGUCAUCAACUUGCAUUGAUUACGUCCCUGCCCUUUGUACACACCGCCCGUUGCACCUACCGAUUGAAUGGUCCGGUGAAGCCUCCGGAUUGGCGCGCACCUCGGUGCCGCCGAGAAGUUGGCUAAACCUUACCAUUUAGAGGAAGGUGAAGUCGUAACA